GACGAACGCUGGCGGCGUGCUUAACACAUGCAAGUCGAACGGAAAGGCCCUGCUUUUGUGGGGUGCUCGAGUGGCGAACGGGUGAGUAACACGUGAGUAACCUGCCCUUGACUUUGGGAUAACUUCAGGAAACUGGGGCUAAUACCGGAUAGGAGCUCCUGCUGCAUGGUGGGGGUUGGAAAGUUUCGGCGGUUGGGGAUGGACUCGCGGCUUAUCAGCUUGUUGGUGGGGUAGUGGCUUACCAAGGCUUCGACGGGUAGCCGGCCUGAGAGGGUGACCGGCCACACUGGAACUGAGAGGAGGUCGAGAGGCCUACGGGAGGCAGCAGGAGGGAAGCUUGCGCAAUGGGCGAAAGCUGGACGGAGCAAGGACGCGGGAGUGAUGAAGGUCUUCGGAGCGUAAAACUCUGUGAUUAGGGAAGAAAAAAUGUGUAAGUAACUAGGCACGUCUUGACGGUACCUAAUCAGAAAGCCACGGCUAACUACGUG
This 488-nucleotide ribosomal RNA is filed under the name uncultured bacterium. RNAcentral describes it as "partial 16S ribosomal RNA". It matches the Rfam family "Bacterial small subunit ribosomal RNA", at positions 28 to 507 of the family's 1533-position model. The record is from RNAcentral.